RNAcentral lists this ribosomal RNA (405 nucleotides) under uncultured bacterium. RNAcentral describes it as "partial 16S ribosomal RNA". It matches the Rfam family "Bacterial small subunit ribosomal RNA", at positions 28 to 526 of the family's 1533-position model. The record is from RNAcentral.
GACGAACGCUGGCGGCGUGCUUAACACAUGCAAGUCGAGCGGAGCGGCGAACGGGUGAGUAACGCGGGAGGAACUGCCCCCCUCUCUGGGAUAACAGUUGGAAACGGCUGCUAAUACAGGAUAUUGGGGGAUGACUCGCGUCCUAUCAGCUUCGUGGUGGGGUAGUGGCCUACCAGUGCGACGACGGGUAGCCGGCCUGAUGUGGCGACCGGCCACAUUGGGCUGAGCAACCGCCCAAAUUCCUCCGUGAGGCAGCAGUGGGGAAUAUUGCACAAUGGGGGAAACCCUGAUGCAGCAACGCCGCGUGCGGGAUGACGGCCUUCGGGUUGUAAACCGCUUUCAGCCAUGACGCGGUAGUGGCAGAAGAAGCACCGGCUAACUACGUGCCAGCAGCCGCGGUAAUUC